This 4384-nucleotide long non-coding RNA is filed under the name Ictidomys tridecemlineatus (thirteen-lined ground squirrel). RNAcentral's name for it is "lncRNA (ENSSTOG00000034143.1)". Lineage: Eukaryota; Metazoa; Chordata; Mammalia; Rodentia; Sciuridae. The record is from RNAcentral.
GCUCCUCCAGUAGCUAACCCUUGACCAGCAGGUUGACCCCAGGAGGCCUGAGCUUCCUUCAGAGCUUCCCAUCCCGAUUUUGUGCACCCCAUGGGCUCAGUCUCUCCCAUGCCUUUGUCUGAGCGUCCUCCUCCACCCCACCCCCCUGUUUGAAGGUUCCACUCCCUCCCCCUUCUUCCUUUCUCCCUCUCCGAAGGCCCUGGGCUGGCUCUCCAGCUUGUCGCUGGUUUUAUUUGAUCACAGUGGCACGUGUCAUGGUGUGACCAGCUGGGAAGCGUAUCUUGCAUUGCUUGGGGUCCGACCCCAGCUCUGGGGCUUUCUUGCUGUGUGAUCUUGGGAGACGGCUUUGCUGCUCUGAGCCUACCUCCCUCUCCUGAAAACCCAUAAUAAUAACUACCUCUUGCAGCGAGGAGGCACAGUGGAACGCGGGGCCUACGUGUGCCCAGCACUUGGCAAGCACCCCGGGAAGGAAUUAGGAAGGGCAGGAGUUACAUCAUUCACUUCUUUUUACAGCUGAGAAAACAAACAGAGGCUCAGCGAGGUAAAGCCGGUUGCCCAAGGUCACACAGCUCCUAGCACGGCAAGGACGGGAGCCAAGGUUGUCCAGUGCUCUAACUGCUGGCACCUCCGGCCGCCGGUCUGCUCCCGCUCUACCUCUCCCCGACCUCCGUGGCCCUCGGGCGCCUGAAGCCGCGUGGGGGCCGCGAAGGCAGGCGGCUUGGCCAGGGGAGAGCCCGAGAGGCGCAAAGGGUUAACGGGCUCCGCCGCAUUGGGCCGGCCUCCGGCGGAACCAGCCAAUGGGCACGCGCGGCGAUGAGGACGAUUCUGGAAGAGACGCUGCAGGAGAACCAGGAAGGCCCUGUUGUCUCCAGGCUGUCCCAGGCUGGCCCACCGGUCUCGGUCCCCUACCUCCUGGAGAGUUGGACAGAGUGGAAAGAAUGUCAGUCACCAGGUGACCCAAGCUGUGGAUAUAGCCUCAUUUCCAUCCCAUGGGGCAACUCCUGUCCCCUCCUUGGUUCCUGGGCUCCUCAUCUGCAGGAUGAAAGACGUGGACUAGAUUGUCCCAGGGUGCCCAUGCUGAUGGCCAGCAGACCUGCCCCUGCACUUGGCCAGACUUCUCAUUCCAGAGGCUGAACAAGGGUGCGGGGUGCCAGGCUUGCCUCUGGCUGCUCUCUGAAUGUGACCUGGCCUUCCAGCACCAACACAGUCCCCACAGGAAACUCAGACCAGUAAGGCCUCAACACACACCCACUGACCACUCCCCAAAUGUCACAUGCCAGACUAGACAUUGGGACAAAGAGAUGCAGCGAACGACGUACUUACUGUUCUUUUCACAGAAACUGCACUUGGGAGGGGAGAGUCCUUUUAGUAAACUCAAAAUUACCUGAGAUUAUGCAAAGGAGGAGAGGGACCAGCCAGGACCCCAAGUGUUGGCCGUAGUGAGGGCUGUCCUCAGAAGUGACCGCUAAGUGACAGGGGUGGCCACAGGCAAAGGCUGCUCCAAAACGGGAACAGGAAGGGCAGGGGCCUGUGGAGAGAGCUCCUACCCAGAAAGAGGCAGCGCUCGCAUGAGUGACGGGGAGCCCGGGGAACGGGUCCCAGGAGGCCGGGUGCCAGGACAAGGGACCCAGCCCCCAGACAGAACCCAGGAACAUCUGAGAUGCGAUAAGCAGGGGAAUUACCAGAAUGGAUUUCUGCUCAGAAAAUCUCAGAGAAGAGUGUGGGCCCUCAUUGCUGCUUUAAGUGACUUUUAUUGUGUGUGGCUUAAAUAUCUACAAACGAAAAAGGAGACAUAAAGUCCUGGUAGCUUUUAUACAACUAUAAAACCAAGACAGAUUGAUCAGUCAAAUACAAAAUCAAUUCACAUCAGAUUAAUCUGAUGUGACAUAUUAUGUCUUUUGCUUGAAACCCUGUCACCACCCACAGAGUAAAUAUGGCCCAACCACGGUGGUGCUCAGUUUGUGACAGAGACGACCGGCCUUCUACACACACGCGCACGUGUGUGUGCCACAAAUGGUCUUCCCCUCAGAAUAGGUAAAGAACUUCUACCAAUCAACAAGAGGAGGAGGAGAAGGAGACCACAAACGUGGCUGCAAGGAAAAAAAAUCGGGGAGGGGCGUGGCACUAACGUCCUUCACAGCACAAUUUCCAAAUGGUCGGCAAAUGCAUGCAACGUCCGCGGCUUGGGGAUGUCUCAAUCAGAGCGAAAUAUCUUAGACGCCAUAAUUUAUAAGCAACAGGAUUGGCUGCUCACGGUGCUGGAGACAGGGGAGCCCGAAAUCCAGGUACCAGCAGAGCCCCGGGACCCCUGAGGACAGCUGCAGUCCAAAGCCACUCCCCACCUCCUUCUCGGCCGCGCCCCUGCCUAUAAUUGCCACCCAGCAGUCCCUUGGCUCCCAAUGGGUCUGUCCACCCUGCACUGCCGCGACACACACACACACACUCACACACACACACACUCACACACACACACACUCACACACACACAGUCACACACACACACACGCACUCACUCUCACACACACACACUCACACACACACACUCACACACACACACACUCACACACUCACACUCUCACACACACACACACACACUCACACACUCACACACACACACAGCAUCCGUGGGUUCAUAAAAAGACGCACCGUUCGUAAGAACCCAGACUGAAGUGAAUCCCAACGCCCUUCAGGAGCCGAGGACAGACAGCGAGCCGGCCCUUCCCACCCUGGUGACCUGGUGACUGACCAGCAGGGGAGGGACGACCUGGGCGCCAGAGCAGACGAAUCUCAGCCCCACCGGGGAGUCCACGUAUGGAAGGGGAAAGCAGGGCAGAGGCCACCCUCUGGAGUGGCAGGACGUCGGUGUCCAGGCUUGGAGGAGGGGAGCCCAGAGGACUGAGCGGUCCCGACCUUAGGGAAGCAGCACUCUUCCUCCUGUGUAAUUGCGGUGUCCCAGAGCCAGCGGUGGGCCAAGGGGAGUGAGAAGCGCUCCGGGCCCCUCUGGCCCUUCCUGCGCAAAGACCACCCGCUGCGAGCAUAGCCUGGGUCGGUACCCGCCCUGGGGCGGUGUGGAACCAGCUCUUCCUGCUGCAGCCCCUGGCCUUGCCCUCCCCGACCCCCUGUGGACUCGGGGCAGAGGCACGGGGCAGAGGAGGCCUGUUGGCCCCAGGACGGCCAGGGGCAGAGGGGAGAAAGGGACAAGGGCCUGAAUCCCAGGACCCCCUUCAGGGGCACCCAGCGACCUAACUUCCUUCCCCUAGGCCCCACCUCCCACAGGGUCCACCAGCUCCCAAUGGCACCACAGGCUCUCAGGGACCACGCCAUUGACCUGGGCCUCCGGGGACACUUACCUAAACCACAGCAGCUGCUCCAGCAGGGGUCACCCUAUGCUCCCCUGCAUUAGCACAGUGCACUGUCCAAUAGUGUCACACUUCAUGACAGUGUAAGAGCCUCACUAAAGCAUGAAGCUAUGACCAACCUCCUCUCUGUCAUUUAUGAUAUUGUGGUCACAUACUUUAUUUUUACAAUGUUAUCCCAGAAUGCAUUAUUAUUUUUGCUUGAGAGAAUUGACUAAUUUUUAAAGAGUUAAGAAAAAUAGCCUUUUGUAUUUAUUAACACAUUCACCAUAUCCAGUACUUUGGGUUUUGUUCCUAUAAUUCUGAAAUUUCACCUGACAUCAUUUUUCUUUAGUAUAAAGAUCUUUAUUUGGGUCUGGUUGUAGCUCAGUGGUAAAUAAUUUGUCUAGCAGGUGUGAGGCACUGGGUUUGAUUCUCAGCACCACUUAUAACAAAUAAAAUAAGAAUUCAACAACAACUUAAAAAAUUGUUUUUUUAAAAAAAUCUUUAUUUAACCUUUCUUAUACCAAAGUUCUAUUGGUAACAAAUUCUCCAAUUUCAUUUAUCCAGUGUUUUUAUUUUUCCAUUUUGAAAGAUAUUUUCAUGGACACCAUUCUAAAUGGACAGCUAGGCCCGGUGGUGCACAUCUGUAGUCCCAUCAGCUCAGGAGGCUGAGAUAGGAGGAUUGCAAAUUCAAAGCCAGCCUCAGCAAAAUAGAGAUGCUAGGCAACUCAGUGAGACCCUGUCUCUAAAUAAAAUACAAAGUAGGGCUGGAGAUGCGGCUCAGUGGUCAAGCGCCCCUGGGUUCAAUCCCCAGUAUAAAAAAGAAAAAAAAAAAUUCUAAAUGGACCAGCUCUUUCUUUCAUUGCUUGUAAGAUACUGUUCCAUUGUCUUCUGACUUGCAUUGUUUUUAGGUGAAGUCUGUGGUUUUUCCCUUACUGUUUUCCUAUGCCCAAUUUAAAAUAUUUUCCCAAGCUACUUUUUAGACACCCACCCCUUCUGGUUUCAGUAGUGUAACCGUGAUGUGCUUAAGUGUGAUUUUUUUGUAA